This 747-nucleotide long non-coding RNA is filed under the name Nicotiana benthamiana. RNAcentral's name for it is "long non-coding RNA (NBEN_LNC021236)". The record is from RNAcentral. Lineage: Eukaryota; Viridiplantae; Streptophyta; Magnoliopsida; Solanales; Solanaceae.
GAAAAGCAAGAAAAUAUUGUAAAUUUAUUAAAAGGAGAAAAAUGAAUUUUAAUCCUCCCUAUUAAAAUUGAAUAUCUUUUUUAAUCAUAAAACCUUCAUCCUCUGUUUUUCCAGCUCUUCAUCAUCUUCCCCAAAAACUAUACACUUACAGCCAUUUUUAUUCUAUUUCAAUCCUCAAGAAUCAAACGAAAAUGGAGGUUUUAACAGAUCAUACGGAGCCCAAAGAGCAUCUAAAGGACAAGGUCGAUUAGCAUCAAGUCUAGCCCAAGGUUUCCCUUUUCCACUCCAAUGCAAUAAACUUACUGGACCAGGAUGUAAAUCUCUACAAAGCCCGCGAAAAUUAUCUCCACCUAACCCAUGUUGAUUCCACCGGUGAUCCACCGGAGCUAUAUUCCCGGCGAACACAAGUAAAAACGGCGGCAAUGAACCCAACUCAUAAAUUCUCAUUCUUUUUUGUAAUUCCAUCCAUUCUUCAAUUUUAUUCGUAUAAUCACCUUUUCUCCAACGAUCGAGGUCGAUUACCAUUACUCCCGUGUUAAAAUAACAAGCUUUACGAUCCGCAAACGUUAAAGAAAGUGAUGGGUUUGACCAAAAAGUUGGUGUAAAGAUCGAUCAGCAUUACUCCCGUGUUAAAAUAACAAGCUUUCCGAUCCGCAAAUGUUAAGGAAAGUGAUGGGUUUGACCAAAAAGUUGGUGUAAAAUAUGAAGUGAAAUUUGCGUUACAAUAUUCUGGGGCGGCGAGGAUUU